AUUACGUGCGCGGCGCCGCCCCUGCGAGAGGACGUUGCGUGCUCGCUCGCGCCAGGCGAGUCUCCGCGUCUCCCUCGCGAACUCGGUGAAAGGAUUUGGCGCCGUUCGACAACCAGGCGGGUCCGCUCUGCAGCACGAACCCAUCUCCAGCCGCAGCUGCCGCCCGGGCCGAGGAGCAGCCGCCGCCACCAGUGGCCGAGGGAGCGGAGCCGAGGUUGAACUAGCACCUAUCGGUGAAUCGGGGCCCUCACCAUGAGUUCCUCGCCUGUUAAUGUUAAAAAGCUGAAGGUGUCGGAGCUGAAAGAGGAGCUCAAGAAGCGGCGCCUUUCCGACAAGGGCCUCAAGGCCGAGCUCAUGGAUCGACUCCAGGCCGCGCUGGACGACGAGGAGGCCGGCGGCCGCCCCGCCAUGGAGCCCGGGAACGGCAGCCUAGACCUGGGCGGGGAUUCCGCCGGGCGCUCGGGAGCAGGCCUGGAGCAGGAGGCCGCGGCUGGCGGCGACGAGGAGGAGGAAGAGGAGGAAGAAGGGAUUGCCGCGCUGGACGGCGACCAGAUGGAGCUAGGGGAGGAGAACGGGGCGGCGGGGGCGGCCGACUCGGGCCCGAUGGAGGAGGAGGAGGCCGCCUCGGAAGACGAGAACGGCGACGAUCAAGGUUUCCAGGAAGGAGAGGACGAGCUCGGAGACGAGGAGGAAGGCGCGGGCGACGAGAACGGGCACGGGGAGCAGCAGCCUCAACCGCCGGCGACGCCGCAGCAACAGCCCCCACAGCAGCGCGGGGCCGCCAAGGAGGCCGCGGGGAAGAGCAGCGGCCCCACCUCGCUGUUCGCGGUGACGGUGGCGCCGCCCGGGGCGAGGCAGGGCCAGCAGCAGGCGGGAGGUAAGAAGAAGGCGGAAGGCGGCGGAGGCGGCGGUCGCCCCGGGGCUCCGGCGGCGGGUGAGUGCUGCGUUGUACGUUGCGCGCGGCGGGAGGCCCGCGUGGGGUGGGGACCGUGCCCCAGGCCAGCCGGAGCCCCGCAGGGGGGAGGGAGCCCCGGGCGGGGGCUGCUGCGCGGUGGGGGAGGGGCAUGGGGAAUCCCGGAUUAAGCGAGAGGCCUCGGGCUCAGUGUGACGGUGGUGGCAGUGCCUCCAUUAUGUGGCUCGGGAGCCGGGGGGGAGCUGCAGCUGCCGCUGGACGGGGGGGUAGCCCUGUCGGCCCGCGGUGGCGCCGCCGCGCUGCGUGCGCGAGGUGCGGGCACAUGUCUCGGGGGGAGGGGAGAGGCCCGAGGUCCCGGGGCGGGCGCGCUUUGGCGGCUCUUCGCCGCGGUAUUGUGCAAGGAGCGCAGGGGCUCGACGUGACGUCACUUCCGGCGGGAGGAGCCGGGCGCGGAGAGUGGGGCGGAAGAUCAGUACAAUGCGGCGGCGGGGCGCGCGGGCCCGGGUAGAGUGGGGGAGGGGAGGGCGGGCCGCGCGAGCCCCGCUUGGCCCCUCCCCCCUUCCUGAACUCUCGUCGGGAUGCACGUGGGCUCCGGGCUUGGGCCGCGCUCUUUUUCUUUGGCUUUCUCGAAUUGUCUAGUAGACUGGUAAAAUUAGUAACGUCUUUAGACUGCGUCACUAAUCUCCAGUUCAAUUCCAAGCUGAUUGUUCUUUGAAUUCACAUUUGGUUCGUCGAUUAAAAGGUCCUAAAAAAAAAUAACAGGGUGAAGUCGAGGACUUCUGCGCCUUGAAACAGAAAAGGUGGUGGGUUAUUGUAUUGUUUUGAUUCUAUUUUUAAGAAAUUUUUUGGCCACUUGGCAUCUCAAAGAGUGUUGUGUGUUAUAGGAGACGGCAAAACAGAACAGAAAGGCGGAGAUAAAAAGAGAGGUGUUAAAAGACCUCGAGAAGAUCAUGGCCGAGGAUAUUUUGAGUACAUUGAAGAAAACAAGUACAGCAGGUACAGGAUACGAACCUAGUUUGGCUUGUACCCAUUCUUCAUGCUUUGGUAGGAAAAGCUAUAUCAGGAGACAAUUCUGUCUUUCAGAGCCAAGUCUCCUCAGCCACCUGUUGAAGAAGAAGAUGAGCACUUCGAUGACACAGUGGUUUGUCUUGAUACUUGUAAGUGAAGCUGAUACUCUUAUCCCCCCUGCCCCCCAGUUAUUGAAUACAGUGGUUUUUUUGGUUCCAAAAUGUUAGAAAACUUAAUGUUGAACUUAAGUGAAGAAAGCUUAGGUUAGUGUUUUCUAAAGGCAGGAAGAUAAUGGUUUUUAUUUUGGAUUCUGGUAGUAUUUAAUGUUUAGUACGACUGCACUUUCAUUGAUAAUUUAAUAGGUUGUAGCAAUUUGAUAACAUUUUAUGACUUAAACUCAUUCUUAAUGCCAAUUUUUGACUAACAGAAAAUUGUAAAACUACUUAUCACUGUCCUUAUAAGGCUUCUACGAUAAUGUCUUUUGUGUGUGGAAUUAUAUUAAGUGAGCUAUUUGGGUUUGUUAAAUAUUUACUAAUGACUUUUCCCAUUAGCACACAAGUAUAUUCCCUAUUCUAAAAGAUUGUAAUAUUACUUUUUCAAUAACUGCUCUUUUGUUCUCAAUUCCAGUUCAGUAGCUGCUGCUUUAACAUAAGUUGAUUUCUUCCAAAGACCUGGGGCAGCAGCAGUGGGCUAUCACUGGGCCACUAGCUUUCUUCAGCAGCGAAUGGUAUCCACGGCAGCGCUGUAAAUACUGCUACUUUACCCAGUUGGGCUGCAAUUGAGUAUGAGGAAGUAUUGCAAACCUCUUAAGUGGGCCUUGGCUGUCAGACUUGCAUUUUUUAAUUAUAAAAAAAUUAUUGAUUUAGUGUUUGGUCAGAAUGCACAACUCUUCGAGAUUAAUAGAAUGAAGGGUAGAAAUAAAUUCUUGAGGAGGAGGAGGUAAGGUAAUAACCUGUUCUGGUAGCUAAGAGGAGUUGAAGCUUAGAUUUUUCAUGUUUCCUUGUACGAUUGUGGAUUGUGUUAAGUGUGAAACUUGAUUUCUUUUUGAAUACCCCUUACAGGUAGUUGAGUCUUAAAACUGCAAAGUAGUUGAAUUGAAAGUUUUAUGUCAAAUUCAGUUGCUUAAAUACAAAAUUGGUAGGAAUUGGCAAGGUGCUGAAGCAGUGAUUCAGAAGGGGUAAUGUCAUUGCAUAGGAAUUGGGUUUUUAUUGCCUAUUACCAGGAGUAUUAGUUUAUUAAGGGUGAUAAUGGGUGUAGACACAAUUUGUUUAAUUAUAUAUCAAUGAUGAUCAGAAAUUUUAGGAGCAAAGCUUAUUUAAGGAGAAUUCUAAACUGAUCAGAUUGAUCAAUUCUAAAUUCUAAAUUGAUCAGAUUAAACUCUGAUCAAUUAAAACUAAAUAAAACUGCUUUCUAAAUUGAGGUUAGUUGUCUUGUCAAGGGAGAACUCUUGAGAAAAUACAUGUUAAUGAGCUAGUGACCCAAAGAUAGCUAGGUAAAAGACGAUUUGGAUAAUCCAGGAAGUGGUUAAUCUCCAAUUGUUAUAACUGGAAAGCUUCUGCAAGGGGACCUAAAAUGCUGUAGUAAACCUUUAGAUGACCAGGUUAGUGGGUUCAGGCUGUCUGAUGCACAAGUUGUAGAAAAGAAUUAAGGACCUGGAACCGGGGUGUUAAGUUACAAAGUGCAGGAUCAACAGCUCAUACUCUUUAUUUUAAAACAUUGGUGGUGGCCUCCCUUCAGUUUUAUUGUGGCACUGGUAAAUUCUACCUGGUUCUGGCAUGCUUCACUUUGAUUUCCUGCUAUCCUCUACUGCUUGCCUCUAAAUCAAGGUAAAGAGCAGAGCAGGUAUGUAUUGUCACAUUGUCUCAAUUUUGCUUAAAACACAUUAAGCCUUGGUUAAUUUAAUAGGAAGUUUAUUCUAGUACAUAAUUGACAAGUGACUUGGUGGGAGUGGGGUUUAAAUUGAAAGUUGGAACAGCAUGAUAUAUAAAAACUUAUGCAGCAUUAAAAUACUUGUAAAAACUUAACCAAAUUUUGUCUACAUAGCAGAAAUACAUAUAUUAGACGUCAAAGGAAUAAUUGGUAUUUUAUAUAAUUACAGAUAAUUGUGAUCUACAUUUUAAAAUAUCAAGAGAUCGCCUCAGUGCUUCUUCUCUUACUAUGGAGAGUUUUGCUUUUCUUUGGGCUGGAGGAAGGGCAUCUUAUGGUGUGUCAAAAGGCAAAGUCUGCUUUGAGAUGAAGGUAAAUGCAAUUUUGUGGUGUGCCCCCCACCAUUUUGGCUUUUUAAAUCAUACCUGAAAAAGCUACCGAGGAUUUUUUUAAAAACUGGCUAAAUUUUAAAGUACAAAUUUUUAAAAAAACUUCUAGCUAAUUGAAACCUUUCUUGCUCUGAGUUAAAAAGUGCUCACUUUUAAAGUUCUUAUAAAUAAAGGAUAGGGAGCAGGGAAAGAAGGAGAAUCGGGUGUCUUCUCCCCAAGUGAGAGAAGUCAGGAUUCAGGAGUUUAUCUUUCUUGAUUUACAGUUUGGUUUAAUGAUUUCACUUUUCAGGUUACAGAGAAGAUUCCUGUAAGGCAUUUAUAUACAAAAGAUAUUGACAUUCAUGAAGUUCGAAUUGGCUGGUCACUGACUACAAGUGGAAUGUUGCUUGGUAAAGUUUCCAUUUGAGUACUGAGGGCUCUGAUUAGAGUCUGAUUUCAGUUAAAGAUUUAGAAGGCUUUCUAACUAUAGUUAAACAUUCUGUUAGUAUUUUACAAAUGGGUAAUGCUAGCAUGUGGCAGACAAGCUGAAUUUUGGCUUUUCAGUGAUUUUUAAAAAAUGUAGGACAUGGUUAAAUUUUAUCCAUUACUCCGUAUUUAUGUGUAUAUAUUCAAGCUUGCUCUGGUAGAUAAGUUGAAGAUUGUUAGCUUAUUUGUACUCUACAUGUUAAGUAAUAAAAACAGUGGGGCUUUGGACUGUUUAAAAAACAUCAGUUUCAUGCAAGUUAUUUUCUUAGGUGAAGAAGAAUUUUCGUAUGGGUAUUCUCUAAAAGGAAUUAAAACGUGCAACUGUGAGACAGAAGAUUAUGGAGAGAAGUUUGAUGAAAAUGAUGUUAUUACAUGUUUUGCUGUAAGUUAUUGCUAAAAUUCGUUAUAUAAGUGAAAAUAUCGUUUAGAAAUUCUAAAAAAAUUAAGGUCUGGAUCAGCUUUUAGUAUGAUAGAUAAAAAUGCAUGCACUGGUUUUGGGUUAAAGACUAGUAGAAGUUGAAAACUGGAAAGGUAAGGGAAAUUUUUAAGGAAGCAUUUUGACAAAUUAUUAAACAUAAAAUUGGCCUGAAAAAUCUAAUCCGUCAUCUGGGGCAAUGUUUUUGAUUCUGUAUGUGUUUCAUUCUAAUGUUCAAAAAGCUGUUAGCAUUUAACCUAUAAAAAUAUUUUCUAAGGGUAAGCUUACUCCUUAUUUGAAUUUUGAUUUUUUUUUUUUUGGAAAGAUUGUAGGAAGCAGAUUCAAAUGUAAAUUUUUUUUCUUCUAUUUAACAGAACUUUGAAAAUGAUGAAGUAGAACUCUCCUAUGCCAAGAAUGGACAAGAUCUUGGCGUUGCCUUCAAAAUUAGUAAGGAAGUUCUUGCUGGACGACCACUCUUUCCGCAUGUUCUCUGCCAUAACUGUGCAGUUGAAUUUAAUUUUGGUCAGAAGGAAAAGCCAUAUUUUCCAAUACCUGAAGACUAUACUUUUAUCCAGAAUGUCCCCCUAGAGGAUCGAGUUAGAGGACCAAAGGGGCCUGAAGAGAAGAAAGAUUGUGAAGUGAGUCAUUUUAUUUUUUGUAAAUGUGGCAUUUGAAGAUUGCUUUUGUUUGACAAAAGUGUUUUAUUUGCUUUCAUAUGUUAUACCUGAUGCUCCCAGCCAAUGAUUUUUCAUUUGCCUUUAUAGAUAAUAGUAAACUUUCCAUGAACAAAUCUUGAUGUGUCAUCUAAAGAAUUUGGAUGUACUUAAAAAUGAAAUUUUUUCCACUUGCAGGUUGUUAUGAUGAUUGGCUUGCCAGGAGCUGGAAAAACUACCUGGGUUACUAAACAUGCAGCUGAAAAUCCUGGUAAAUACAACAUUCUUGGAACAAAUACCAUUAUGGAUAAAAUGAUGGUAAGUAAAAAUGUUGGGUCUGAUUUCAGCAUUUAAAGGAGGCCCAAAAAGGGGGAUAGUGGACCGCAGCUCAGUGAGAGUCCUUGCCACGAAUGUGCAAGGGUUUGGUUAUUGUCAAUCCCUAGCACUUAAAAACAAAAACAAAACAAAACAAAAACAACCUUAAUACUUAUUUAAGAAGACAUUGAAGGUAUUCUGUGUAACUCCCCCUCUUCUUAAAAUGUAUUUUGUUAAUAUAUUAGGGGGUGGGCAAAACAAAAUUAAUUAUUGGGUUACUUCAAUUAGCUCUCAAUCUGUAAGGCAAAUUGCAUUCUAGUUGAUAGGCUUAGUCAUCUUUUUCAUAGAUUUUUUUUUUUAAUUUUUUAGCAAUGAGAAGAAUUCAGUGGUCUUACAAUAUGAUAAAAAGCACUACUUUUUGAUAGCAAUAAGGGAAGUACAGUGUUCAAACAUUUAAAUUAUAAAGUGUUACUUGUUGCUUCCCAUAUAGAUCUAAGCUGGUAUUAAACACACGUGACUUGAUUCACAAAUUCAAAUGAAAAUUUUAAAUUUUAAAAAUAGGUGGCAGGUUUUAAAAAACAAAUGGCAGAUACUGGAAAACUGAACACACUGUUGCAGAGAGCCCCACAGUGUCUUGGAAAGUUUAUCGAGAUUGCUGCCCGCAAGAAACGAAAUUUCAUUCUGGAUCAGGUGAGUUGUAGCUUAGAAGUUGAAAAAAUGUUAACUGGUACUUGGUUUGGUAUGGAAUUAAUGUUUAAGGUUAUAAACUUAUUAUUUUUUUCCUUUACAAGACAAAUGUAUCUGCUGCUGCCCAGAGGAGAAAAAUGUGCCUGUUUGCAGGUUUCCAACGAAAAGCUGUUGUAGUUUGUCCAAAAGAUGAAGACUACAAGCAGAGAACACAGAAGAAAGCAGAAGUAGAGGGAAAAGACCUACCAGAACAUGCAGUCCUUAAAAUGAAAGGUGUGGAAUUGAAUUUUAUUGUUGCUGUCUUGUUUCAUUUUGUGAUCUGUAUCUGAGAAAUUAAUAUUUUGCAAGUACUUUUGUUUGAGGAAUUGCCAUUAACUCUUGGGAAUAUGAAUGUGUUUGGCUCAUUGUAAUUAUUUUCAGAAAAUUCAUUAAACCACUAAACCAUGAGUAGAUAUAGUAAUCUGUUAAAAAUUUUAAGCUAUUCAGGAAUAGGAAGUUUUAGGAUUAUGGAUACUUCCCGUGAGUUUCUGACUUAAUUUGAUUUUAUUCUUGGCAGGUAACUUUACUCUGCCAGAGGUGGCUGAGUGCUUUGAUGAAAUAACCUAUGUUGAACUUCAGAAGGAAGAAGCCCAAAAACUUCUGGAACAGUAUAAGGAAGAAAGCAAAAAGGCACUUCCACCAGAAAAGAAACAAAACACUGGCUCAAAGAAGAGCAAUAAAAACAAGAGUGGCAAGAACCAGUUUAACAGAGGUGGUGGCCAUAGAGGACGUGGAGGAUUCAAUAUGCGUGGUGGAAACUUCAGAGGGGGAGGUAAGUUAAAUUUGAAUAUUGUGUUUAAUUCAAGAUUGAAGUGGGAGAAUCUUGUAACUUGGGUCUGUAACUUAAACAGAAGUUUGUUUCUCAUUGAUCUAUGCUGCCAUCGAAGUAACUAAUUUAAAAUUUUAGUGUGAUUUGAUUCUAAACAAAACUAGGUUGUGUAAAUGCUUAAAAUUAUCUUUUAAUGCUUUUAUCUUAAAAUAUUUAUUUGUAACUAAAAUAAGAAAUGGGCCAGAAGAGGCCUAACUGGGUACCUACUUCCUUGCUUUUAGCUCCUGGGAAUCGUGGUGGAUAUAAUAGGCGGGGCAAUAUGCCACAGAGAGGUGGUGGUGGCGGCGGAAGUGGUGGAAUUGGCUAUCCAUAUCCUCGUGGCCCUGUUUUUCCUGGCCGAGGUGGCUACUCAAACAGAGGGAACUACAACAGAGGUGGAAUGCCCAACAGAGGGAACUAUAACCAGGUAAUGAUAAACAGGCACUGAUGGUCUGUAAUUUAGUCUGUAAAAUUAUAGGCUAAUGUUGAGGAACCUCAAUAAGCAACUAAGGAAAAUGGUGUGUUUGCAUUGAUGUGAGAAAAAAUUUAAUAUUGUAAUGGUAAAACAAAUUCAUUUAUUGGUUUUUCCAGGUAUACUAAGUAGCAAAAACAGGUGGAUUUUUACAAAGAUUUAAAAAUCUAUGAGAAACCUGCAGAAGGGUACCUAGGGCUAUUUCCCCAAAUUAAUGUCUAGCAAGUUGUCCAUUUCUGCCCACUCCCACUUCCCAAUCACGAUCCCUGCAGGCAUGAUAAAUUCUUGGUUAAGACUUAAAAGAUUUUUUUUCCUUUUUGUAGAACUUCAGAGGACGAGGAAACAAUCGUGGCUAUAAAAAUCAAUCUCAGGGCUACAACCAGUGGCAGCAGGGUGUAAGUAAUUUCUUACAUGAUUACAUUAAUUGUAUUUUGAGUAAAAAUCAGUCUCGAAAAGAUCUUGUCCAGGGAUUGAAGUGUUUGUAAACCUUAAUAAGGCAAGGUAUGAAUUGUGUUGUAGUCCAUAAAUAGGUUUGAGUUUGCCAUAACUUACUAUUUUUAACGAAGUAAUAUUUUAAUAUACAGUUCUUUGCUAGCAUUAAUUGUGUAAACUAACCAAGUCAUGAUGUGUUUCUUUUUGUAAUGUGUAUUGAUAAAUAAUGGGAUAAUAAAACUAAAUCUGGUUUGAUAGAAAUCAGAGGUAUGACAAGUAUAAUUUAUUUCCAGCAUUUACUCUGAAUUAGAUUCAUUGUCAUUUCCUAAAAGCAAUUUGAGUGGCUUAUUGAUGUUUUUUCUUUAAAAAAAAAAUUUUCUCUUACAGCAAUUCUGGGGUCAGAAGCCAUGGAGUCAGCAUUAUCACCAAGGAUAUUAUUGAAUACCCAAAUAAAACGAACUGAUACAUAUUUCUCCAAAACCUUCACAAGAAGUCGACUGUUUUCUUUAGUAGGCUAACUUUUUAAACAUUCCACAAGAGGAAGUGCCUGCGGGUUCCUUUUUUAGAAGCUUUGUGGGUUGAUUUUUUUUUUCUUUUCUUUUUUGUACAUUUUUAAUUGCAGUUUUAAAGUGAAUCGUAAGAGAACCUCAGCAUUGUGCACGAUAAGAGAAUGUGUCAGUAUUUCAGGGUUCUACAUUUUAUCUGUAAAAUGUGACUUUUUUUUUUAUCACAACAAAAGUAAAAUGUUGCUUUGUACCUGGUGUCUUUUAUUAAGAAUUUACUCCCCUAUUUCUCACAGAGAAUAACAGUCGGGAGUCAUUGUCACAAUAUAAUAGAAAUGUUAGCAACCAGAUUCAUGUAAGGACUAAGUGGUCCUCAUGAAUUGCAUUAAGACUCUGUACUGCUCAAUAUUACACUCCAUCCUCUCUCUAGUUUGCUGGGUAGUAGUGGAGGGGAUAAGCUAAAUAGUAAUUUCCAAUAAAGACUGGGAAGGCUUUUUCAGUUUAAAUGACAAUGGAAUUGGCAUAAUUGGGAAUGAAGCUAAAACUUGAAACCAACAUGGAGAAGAUGGAGUGUAUGUAGAAGGGCUGUUAAAAAUGUAAAACUUGGUUGCAUUAUUUGUGGAGGCUCAAACUUGUGAAGGUUAAAAUACCAUAAUUUUUCCAUUUGUUCUGCAUUUUGAUUCUGAAAAGAAAGCUGGCUUUGCCCAUUUCUUAUUAAAAAACUUGUUGUAAAUCCAGUUGUCUAAUGGGAUCUAUAUGAAGUUAGCUAUGUCUGUAUGCCCUUCUCCCACAAAAUACUGUAUAACUAGUGUGCUUGUAGUAGUUAACUCCACCAUCUUUGUAAGCUAAUGAAAUUGUGAGUCACCCAUUUAUAUCUUAAUUUUUAAUCAUGUCAGUUCUUGAAUGGGUAUCUCCUUAGCCUGCUGAUUUCUUUUUCUUUCUAAAGAAAGUGGGUGGAGAAAUUAAUUUAGACGUUUGUUUGCAAUAAAAAGAAUUCAUUUUACUCUUGUUUUGGGAUUCUCGCCAUCAAGGUUCAAAAUCCCUUUAUACAACUCCCAAGAGGAGAAAUUUUAAGUGUGUGCUUUCUGGACAGCUUAUUCUUUACUCUGUACUUGGAACAUUUAGGUUUUAAAAACUUAAAUGUGUACUGAUGAUUGAUAAUAUGAAGUAAAGUUUGAAUUCUUCCCUUCCCCUCCCCCCCAGACGGCUUUUAACAUUUAAUGAGGGGAAAAGGUACUGGCUGGGAGAAGUUAACGCUCACUGUAUCAUCUUUAUGAAAUGCUAACGGCUGUCCUCAACUGAUAAUUUUAUAUACAUGUUUAUGAUACAUGAAACUCCAGGAACAGUUGCUUUUAGAAGCCAUCAUGUAAGCCAGUUGUUGAUUUCACUACUACACAACACUGCUAACUUAACUGUAGCUAUGUGAUAACAUUAGAUCCCCUAAUUGUAAUUUUAUUGGGUUUGCACAGAACACUUAAUCUUCUAAAGGACCCUCACUGUGAAGUGAGGAAUCAGGAGUCAAACUGUAGAACUAAAAUAUGACUUCAGUGUAGUUUUAUUUUUUAUUUUUGUGUUUUAGGCUGUUUCUGGUAAGUUCAGGUUUGCUAUAUUUGAGUGUUUAGGAUUUUGUUUUAGCCACUGUAAAAUCAGAUUUUUAAACUUCAUUUCAUACUCCUAGAGAUUUUUUUGGUACAAGUUAGUUUUUAGAUGGUGAUGUAGGUUCACUUGAAAUUUUUGGGAUAAAGGUUUGCUCACAAUAGAGAUAAUUAACAAUAUGAAGUAGGUUUUUGUAUUUUUAGCAAUUACUGCUAGCAAUCACUGGCACGAGUUAACUUUUCAAUAUACAUUGUGAAGGAAGAUUGCAUACUUAAUCAAUGAGGAAGAUUCCAACUUUAAUGCUCAUCAGUUUAGGUGUCCUACAGUUUAUUUGUGCCUUUCAAAAAGUCUUGAGUAUACCUUGUAAUUAAAUUGCCUAAAUUAAUAUCCGCAGCAAGAAAAAAUGGUCAGAUAAUACUAGGCAGGCCACCAUAGCUCCAAAAUUUAGGAAGGAGUAGGGACAGAUGGGAGAAAAAAAUGCUGUCUGGAUAUGUGUUAAACUUCUAAGAAGCAAUUUCAUGAUUAGGGUUGUUUAUACUUGUAUGAAAAAUAAUCUUAGUAGUUAAAUUUGGAAAAGGGGAUGUACCAACUAGGCAAGCAAAGGGGAGGAAAAUAGGUAAGUUAAUUUCAAGAAAUGUCAAGUUUUGGCAGAUAUAAGACUUUGUCCUUCACCCCUCCUAGUUCCUGCCCCCAACCCAUGGCAAUACAAAAAAUAAAAAACCUCAAACAACACUUAGUUCUGAACAAAUCCUGACUUGGGGGAAAGCUUGACCUUGCUUUUGGUUCAAGGAGUGCUUUUAUGUAGCAAGUUUUGCAGCUCUUAGACAGUGAUGUGUUGAGCCAAAAAUGCAGGGGGUGGGGAAACAGCUCAGUGGAAUAGAGCACUUGUCUUGCAUGUGCAGGGUCCUAGGUUCCAUCCCAGAACCCUUAAAAAAAUGUUCAUAAACUGGUACUACAAAAAUAUAGACAUUUAUAGGGAAAAAGAAAAACCAAUAAUGCAAGAUAGAAAACAACUGUCAGCAUAGAUUUCCUUGGUAGGUUAUAUAAUCGUGUCUAGCCUUUGAAGGGCUCUGGCUCUGACCUUUACAAGGGCAGUGACCAACUUACAGCCUUAGUGGCCUUGUGUCCAGACAGCAAAAUAAAAUCCUAUAAUGGAAGAUUUCAACGGCAAAUGACAAGGGAACAGUCUUAAAAAAUUUGAAAGAAUUUUUUUUGUUUUUUAAAGAAACGUAGUUAGUAGUAUUUUGAGAAUUUUUUUCAUCUGGGUAUUUUAUAUUCAUGGAUACACUUUAAAAAUUUGUUUGUUAGGUGAAUUGGAUAACAUUGUCUAUAAAGUUCUGUAAACUUAACACGUUUUUAUCUCAGGACCUUGUUUAAUUGGCUCCAUUGCACAAAAACAAAGUAUAGCACCUUUUAAGCUUAUUGGCAUACACUUGGAUAAAGACUUAAUUGUAGAACUGAGAAUUUUUUUUUGUCAAAACUAGAAUGAGUUUUAAACAACUUUUCCAUAUAUAAUUACAAUCUUGUUUUCUAAAAGAGAAUGAAACUUGUACCCAAGAAUAAUUCAGUUAGUCACUCCCUAGUCUCCUAUCAGAUGUUUCCUCUGGGAAGAUAAUGCAGUAUUGUUUCUGGAGUUUUUUUUUUUUUUUCCUGUAAAGUUUUUGAGAUGGUUUGAGUCUAAAAGUCCAUAAUUCUGCAACUGAGAUUGAUUGAGGUAGAUCUUGAAAAACUGGGUUUAAGUUUUAAUGUUUUUAGUAAUAAAAGCAAGGAUAUAUAUGUUAAGGGUUGGCAAUACAUUAUAAUACCUAUGCACUGGAACUCACCUAAGCAUAAAUUAUAAAGGAACCGUUAGUAAUUUCUAUUGGCAAUAAAAACUAAUUAAAUUAUGAAUUGCCUAAGUUUACCUAAAAUUAGCUCAGUAGAACUGCAGUACUCUUCAUAUGUGGAUGACUUUUAGCUUGGAUUGGGGAGAGGCACAGUUGUCAUUCCUCCUAAGUUUUUAUAUUAAAAAAAAUAGAUUUAGCCAGGCUACUGCUUUUUUUUUUUUACUUUUUAAUACUCAGUUUUUUUUUGCUUAAUACUGGCACUAUUAACAGGUACCUUUGUAAGAGAAGCAUUAAAAACACUAUGCAUCAAACUAGUACUGGAGUCACCUUUGUUUUAACCUUGGUAUUAAAAAUAAGCCCUUUGAGAACUUAGAAGUGAACUGUAGUACUUUCUGAAGUAAUAUUCAUCCCUUAAUAUUGGGUAGACAAACAUUAAAGCUAGAGGUCACCAGCUACCCUUUUGCUAAGUAUAUACUAGUUUAUUAGGUGUUAACACAUCAGUCUCAGAUUGUGCAAAACAGGACCAUGGGAAAUAACAGAAGUAGUUUGGCACUUAACAUUAAGAACAUUUUCACAUCUUUGCUCCUUGGCUAAAAAUAUAGGUGAUUUAAGUUUGACUCGUUUCUCUAGGAACUUAUUUAUUUAGAUCUAUAUAGGUUGGAGAUUGAAAGGAUUAUAUUAAUAAAGCUAACCUUGAAUCAAUCAUAACCCCUUUGUAUCUUAUGGGGUUCCCAUUGUUGAUAAAAUAGCACUGAAGAUAAGUGAUAGGUUAGGGCAUCAGUAAUCCUUGCUUGGUUAGGUGAGCUUUUGGCAUAACUUAGUUAUUAGAGCAAGGAACUUAAUAAUAGCCUAAUUUCCUUUAGAAUAUAAACCUAAGGUUUCUUUUUCAUGCCAAGAUUCAGCCUACAUUUGAGGUAUGGGGUUUUGGCUUAACAUCUUAAUCUGUGGGUACAAGAAAAUUUACUGUAGUUGAAAGAGAUGAGGUAAUGACAGAUGAGGCUAGCCUCUGGAAAAAUGUCUUAUAAAGGCUUAGUUCCUAGGUUGCACUGUUAAAAUCACCAUGCUUGGUGAUGGUAUAAUCAUGAGCAUGUUCUGCUUGAUAAUAUGCAGUACUGAAAGUUACUCAGGGAUUGCAGGCUAAAAAGCUGAAAGCAUCUGAUAUCUACCAAGUUACUGGUUUUUUUUUUUUUUUUUGUAGUGUUUUUUUUUCUAUUCAGUCCCAUUUCAUUGUACUAUGGGAAACAGAAUCAGUUUUGCCUAAUAAAAUGUAUGUGGCAAGCACUUGAAGCAUUGCUACAAAUGGAUAUUAGCCAAAAAAUUUAAAUGAAACCACCACCAACAAAGAGGGCUAGAAUAUACAAAAGUGUGAUGUAAAUAGUGUUAAAGCCUACAGAGAAGACGAAAUUAAUACUUAAUGAUCAGAAAUUAUUUGGCAGUUUCUAAAGGUACCUAGUUAAGAGACAGUCAUGGACAAGUACAAUAAUAAAAGGUUCCAACGUACUUUAUUUUUUAUUUUGGAAAAGUAUAAUAAAGAAAAAAAUGCUGAUUUAAAUUUCAUCUCCUUUUCCUUAGUCUGUCCAUGUGAAUGUGCUGUGUGGAAGAGUAAAAGGGCCCAACUAAAUGUGUUCCAGUGAUUCUAAUAGGUAUUCCAAAUUAAUUGAUGCUUGUAUAUUUAACAGUUGUUAUGUUAGGAUUCUGGGAUCACCCUAAAAUAAAACUUACUAAAAGAUGGGGAAGAGCAACUGGUAACCUUGAUGUACAGGUUAUAUAACAUUUCCCAGUUUCUCCCUUGAAUACCUGAAGUGAAAUACUUGGUAUUCUCUUUGCAGUCGAUGGUCCUCUUGCAUAGGUUUACAGGAAUACAUGCAAAGACCCAAGUCCUUUCCUUCUGUUAAACUUUUUAUGUCUCCCUACUUGCAGCAGUUUAUUUCCAGAGUUCAAAUGUGAAAUAAGUUUAGGAUAUUUUUCUGUCCUUAGAUUCCCCAAAUCUUUGUUCUUUUUAUACUAAAUACACAAAUAUACUAGUUUUAGGAAAACAGAUUUGAGGUCCUGUUUGGAUAAUCAAUGAUAUAAAUUCAUAUUUCAAAAUGUAAAAUCAGCUUAGAAAACUAAAUUUAGAACUUAAGAUGAAGAAAUGGGGAAGACUUGGUAUGAGUUUUCAUUAUGCCAGUCCAGAGCAUAUAAUAUACUGUUGUAAGUCUGAAGUUUAAAUUAAAGUCUUGAUAAGCUUAGAGGAAAUUAUUUUUCUCCACUAUGUUCUCCAGAAAAAUGUCUUUAGGUGAAAUGAGAGGACUUGGAUACAGGUCUGAUAACAAUGUCACUAUCAGGAUUUGCUCAAUGCAAAACAGCUCUACUCUAAAAAGUUGACCUAAUGGCUUAUAAAGAGCAGGCACCUCAAGGUUUCAUGACCGUUUGUUUACAUGAGGAAAAACAAAACUAUAUAAAAAAAUAAACUUUUUUCAAAAAUGAGCUUUGAAUUUAUGUGGUAAGGCACGUUUUAUUUCACAUGACUUCAUGGUAUAGUGCAAGAAACAUUACUAUGGAAAUUCAUCCUUUAAGAAAUCAGUAUAUGCAGAAAAUGAUGACUUUGAGAUCCCCUAAGGGGGUGCCAUAUGAUAGCUGGUUUAUUAGAAUUUCUAAAAACAUGGUGGAAGAGAUGCCACUUUUUAGGUUGACCUACACUUAAAGUGAACAAAAGAAAUCUUUUGUCUAUUAAUAUAAUCUGAUAAUCUUGAGAUACGACUACUCAGUGUCAUCCUUAUUCUAGAAAAAUAGAAGAAUAAAGUGAAUGCAAUGGUUGAAAAGCACUCAAAAAUAUUUGAAACACGUUGUAGUGCUCACAUUAUAAGCUUCAAAAUGGAAUUCUGAAAAAAUGUCCUCAUAAUGUAAUUUUUCUUGUUCCAGCAGCUUUCCCUUACUAAGAAAAAGUUUUAAAGCAUUUAAAAAAUGGAACUUAAUGUACAUAAUAAGCUGUGUAAAAAAUACCAGUAUUUGGGUGGUAGUGGAUAUAUUGACACAUUGAACUGCUAAUUACUGGACUAAUUUUUAAGUUGCUUCCAAAAGUUAUUUCAUUCUAGAGGACCAUUAUAAAACAGAAUUGUAGCAAUUGUUUUUAAUUUUUCUACUUUCCUCAUUAAGGUCUGCUUUACCCAAAGAAUAGUGUAUAUUUUAACAUGACUUAAAGGGGUGAGUUUACCCCAUCACAGAUUUUUAUCUGGGAAUAGAAGGAUUCAAACCCUAUUUGAUCCCUAGCUCUUUGCUGAAAAGUGCAUAAACAGGAAUCCUGAAUUUAUUAUAUAGACCUCCUCGCAUUAUGUAAUCGAAGCAAAGGGAAACCAGCGAUGGAGUUAGAGGUACGUAGACUAAAGAGAUGCUUGCAAAUACAAUAAUGGUUCUAGAGUAGUCAAGAUUUCUUGUUGCCGAACUCAGCAUAAAUCACAAGUUCAGAGAAAAACUUAAAAUUAAUUUAAAAGCCCUGAGGUCCUUUUACUGAGAUGGAAAAGCAAGCAGUCCAGCCAAAAGGAGGGGUGAGGGAAGGGGGGAAACACAUAAAUCAUAUCUUAGAAAGUGUCAAAGCAAGUAUAAUAGAUAAGCCAUGAAAAAUUUUCAAAACUAAUAACUGUAAUUCUAUUUUAAUCAGCUAUUUAGCUGGUACCCACUGCUAUAUCACCUAGUGUGAAAUUUUGGAAUUACGGAGCAAUGGAGGUGCGCUGGAAGCUCCCAAAUGGGCGUGGAAGGUAGGUUGUUUUGAGUUUAAUAAAAUUUGCAGUAUGUGAAAGUAUGGAUUGGGUAUAAGUCUUGAAUCCUACCUGUUGGUGAACACUUAGUUCAUUUACUUUUUUGUGCCAUGUACUUUAGGAAUGUAAUAGGAAACACUGUAGCACAUACCAGUGACCCAAUGAAAGUGCCUACUCCAAGAAUUAAAGCACAAAAUAUGUGAAAAGCUAAAGGAAAAAGUGACUAUGAUUCCCAGAUGGUGUAAGCAAAUGAAAAAAAAAAAAGUAGAUCCAGAAAGGCAUUGAAAGUGAAAAAUUUCUGAUUAGAGACAUGGAUUAAUUUGUAAUGGUCAGUGUGACAGAUUUGGCAAAACUUCAGUUAGGAUUUGAAGAUUAUUGACUGAAGUAGGAGUGUCAGGACCAUUUUGUAACAUUUUAGUAGUUCAAGAAGAAAAAUGAUCAUGUAAAUGUAUGUAAUGGCAUUUUAAAAGUAAUUCAACUAAAUUAAAUAUUUUAUUAUAACUUUGUUUUUAAUCCAGGUCUCCAGUUUGUGCAGGCAUUCUGCUGUGAAAAUGAACUGACCUUAUUUAAUGGUGAAGUCAUUGGAAAUUUUACCAAUCGAGAGGUUUCUCUUUCAGGGUAAGAUGUAAUUGAAGUAUGAUAGAACUAGGACUUGACUUAAUCCAGCUGCCCAAUUAUACAGGUUAUUUAUGUUAGUAAACUGAAGCUGUGAGCAUAAAUAGCUGCCCACCCAGUUUGUUAAAUAUCAGGUUACUGAUUAGUGCUCAUCUUAAAACAUGGGGAACUCAUCACUGAAUUUUUAACAAUUUGGUCAUGGCCAGUUCAAAUAAUGUAGAAUGUUCGUUUGUGCCAGAUUUAUGGAGGUAGAUCAGAAAGGCAUUGAAGUGGUCAGAUUUUACAAGCUCCUUUCCAGGAACUUUCCUUUAUUAAUUAUCCAGGUCCUCCUCAGAAUGUGUUUGACAUCACACAGCCUCUGCACCCUAAGUACUGUAACCUUGAUAGCCACAAGGUGGGGAGGGAGAUCUUUCUGAACAGAACUAAAGUAAUCACACCUUUCCUUUGAAAAAGAAGUAGAACAAGAUAACUAAUACUUUAAAGACAUCUGAGUUCACUGGUGUCUCCCCCUCCAAACCACCCUCACGUUUCUUUAGUAUUUAAAGAAACUGUCAAGCUGUUUAUUUAAAUAGGUAUUU
Molecule: long non-coding RNA, 17317 nt
Filed under: Marmota monax (woodchuck)
Lineage: Eukaryota; Metazoa; Chordata; Mammalia; Rodentia; Sciuridae
Source: RNAcentral